This 481-nucleotide ribosomal RNA is filed under the name Streptococcus sp. oral taxon 071. RNAcentral describes it as "bacterial SSU rRNA". It matches the Rfam family "Bacterial small subunit ribosomal RNA", at positions 28 to 491 of the family's 1533-position model. Lineage: Bacteria; Bacillati; Bacillota; Bacilli; Lactobacillales; Streptococcaceae. The record is from RNAcentral.
GACGAACGCUGGCGGCGUGCCUAAUACAUGCAAGUAGAACGCUGAAGAGAGGAGCUUGCCCUUCUUGGAUGAGUUGCGAACGGGUGAGUAACGCGUAGGUAACCUGCCUGGUAGCGGGGGAUAACUAUUGGGAACGAUAGCUAAUACCGCAUAAAAUGGAUUAUCGCAUGAUAAUCCAUUGAAAGGUGCAAAUGCAUCACUACCAGAUGGACCUGCGUUGUAUUAGCUAGUUGGUGGGGUAACGGCUCACCAAGGCGACGAUACAUAGCCGACCUGAGAGGGUGAUCGGCCACACUGGGACUGAGACACGGCCCAGACUCCUACGGGAGGCAGCAGUAGGGAAUCUUCGGCAAUGGACGGAAGUCUGACCGAGCAACGCCGCGUGAGUGAAGAAGGUUUUCGGAUCGUAAAGCUCUGUUGUAAGAGAAGAACGAGUGUGAGAGUGGAAAGUUCACACUGUGACGGUAUCUUACCAGAAAGG